Molecule: ribosomal RNA, 253 nt
Filed under: uncultured bacterium
Lineage: Bacteria
Description: partial 16S ribosomal RNA
Rfam family: Bacterial small subunit ribosomal RNA
Source: RNAcentral
GACAGAGGGUGCAAACGUUGCUCGGAAUUACUGGGCGUAAAGCGUGUGUAGGCUGACCUUCAAGUCGGACGUGAAAUCCCUGAGCUCAACUCAGGAACUGCAUCCGAAACUGCAGGCCUAGAGUAGUGGAGAGGGAAGCAGAAUUCCUGGUGUAGAGGUGAAAUUCGUAGAUAUCAGGAGGAACACCGGUGGCGAAGGCGGCUUCCUGGCCAUUCACUGACGCUGAGACGCGAAAGCGUGGGGAGCAAACAGG